This 526-nucleotide ribosomal RNA is filed under the name uncultured bacterium. Its description in RNAcentral is "bacterial SSU rRNA". It matches the Rfam family "Bacterial small subunit ribosomal RNA", at positions 370 to 886 of the family's 1533-position model. The record is from RNAcentral.
AAUGGACGAAAGUCUGACGGAGCAACGCCGCGUGUACGAUGAAGGCCCUCGGGUUGUAAAGUACUGUCUUCAGGGACGAACGGUAUCUAUGUAAAUAAUGUAGGUACAUGACGGUACCUGAGGAGGAAGCCCCGGCUAACUACGUGCCAGCAGCCGCGGUAAUACGUAGGGGGCAAGCGUUGUCCGGAAUCAUUGGGCGUAAAGGGCGCGUAGGCGGAUAUUUAAGUCUGGUGUGAAAACCUAGGGCUCAACCCUGGGACUGCAUCGGAAACUGGGUAUCUUGAGGACAGGAGAGGAAAGUGGAAUUCCACGUGUAGCGGUGAAAUGCGUAGAUAUGUGGAGGAACACCAGUGGCGAAGGCGACUUUCUGGACUGUAACUGACGCUGAGGCGCGAAAGCGUGGGGAGCAAACAGGAUUAGAUACCCUGGUAGUCCACGCCGUAAACGAUGAGUGCUAGGUGUAGAGGGUAUCGACCCCUUCUGUGCCGCAGUUAACACAAUAAGCACUCCGCCUGGGGAGUACGGC